UGGGGAAUCUUGCGCAAUGGUCGAAAGACUGACGCAGCGACGCCGCGUGCGGGAUGAAGCCCUUCGGGGUGUAAACCGCUGUUACUCGGGACGAACUUCCCGUUUAGACGGGAUUGACGGUACCGGGGGAGGAAGCACCGGCUAACUCUGUGCCAGCAGCCGCGGUAAUACAGAGGGUGCGAGCGUUGUCCGGAAUCACUGGGCGUAAAGGGCGCGUAGGCGGCUUUUCAAGCGUGCGGUGAAAGCCCGGGGCUUAACUCCGGGUCUGCCGUGCGAACUGGGAGGCUUGAGUCUGGUAGAGGUCGAUGGAAUUCCGGGUGUAGCGGUGGAAUGCGUAGAGAUCCGGAAGAACACCGGUGGCGAAGGCGGUCGACUGGGCCAGUACUGACGCUGAGGCGCGACAGCGUGGGGAGCAAACAGG
RNAcentral lists this ribosomal RNA (421 nucleotides) under uncultured Gemmatimonadota bacterium. RNAcentral describes it as "bacterial SSU rRNA". It matches the Rfam family "Bacterial small subunit ribosomal RNA", at positions 355 to 776 of the family's 1533-position model. Lineage: Bacteria; Pseudomonadati; Gemmatimonadota. The record is from RNAcentral.